GGGGACGUGGUGAAACCUGGCAUCAUACCUGGCUCCAGACCAGAUGUUCUGCGUUCAAAUCGCAGCGUCCCCA
RNAcentral lists this transfer RNA (73 nucleotides) under Candidatus Woesearchaeota archaeon. RNAcentral describes it as "tRNA-Trp". It matches the Rfam family "tRNA". Rfam says of the family: Transfer RNA (tRNA) molecules are approximately 80 nucleotides in length. Their secondary structure includes four short double-helical elements and three loops (D, anti-codon, and T loops). Lineage: Archaea; Nanobdellati; Candidatus Woesearchaeota. The record is from RNAcentral.